Molecule: ribosomal RNA, 530 nt
Filed under: Pezizomycotina sp.
Lineage: Eukaryota; Fungi; Ascomycota
Description: SSU rRNA
Rfam family: Eukaryotic small subunit ribosomal RNA
Source: RNAcentral
GUCUCAAAGAUUAAGCCAUGCAUGUCUAAGUACAGGCCUAAGCAAGGCGAAACCGCGAAUGGCUCAUUAAAUCAGUUAUGGUUCAUUGGAUCUUACCCUUUCUUACUUGGAUAACUGUGGUAAUUCUAGAGCUAAUACAUGCUAAAAACCUCGACUUCGGAAGGGGUGUAUUUAUUAGAUAAAAAACCAAUGCCCUUCGGGGCUCCUUGGUGAAUCAUAAUAACUUAACGAAUCGCAUGGCCUUGCGCCGGCGAUGGUUCAUUCAAAUUUCUGCCCUAUCAACUUUCGAUGGUAGGAUAGUGGCCUACCAUGGUAUCAACGGGUAACGGGGAAUUAGGGUUCGACUCCGGAGAGGGAGCCUGAGAAACGGCUACCACAUCCAAGGAAGGCAGCAGGCGCGCAAAUUACCCAAUCCCGACACGGGGAGGUAGUGACAAUAAAUACUGAUACAGGGCUCUUUUGGGUCUUGUAAUUGGAAUGAGUACAAUUUAAAUCCCUUAACGAGGAACAAUUGGAGGGCAAGUCUGGUG